Molecule: long non-coding RNA, 624 nt
Filed under: Danio rerio (zebrafish)
Lineage: Eukaryota; Metazoa; Chordata; Actinopteri; Cypriniformes; Danionidae
Description: lncRNA si:dkey-189a9.6 (ENSDARG00000105448.2)
Rfam family: let-7 microRNA precursor family (bases 14-100)
Source: RNAcentral
UGGUAAUGCUUGUGCAGUGUGAGGUAGUAGAUUGUAUAGUUGUAGGGUAGUGAUUUUAUCCUGUGUAGAAGAUAACUAUACAAUCUAUUGCCUUCCCUGAGGGGCAGAAAUACACAGAAAAGGAAUAUGCAAGUUUGCUGGAUAAUAUGAAGCGCUCAUGUUUUCUUUAACACAAUCACUAUUAUGAUUAAAACUCUUAUGAAUUGCUUCUUAAUAGCUACUAAAAUAAGCUUGUUAUAGUGAGUGUGUUUAUGUAUUAGAGGGGUUUAAUGGAUGCAGAAUAUAAUAUGUCAUUUAUAAGUAGUAUUAAACUGCCAAUAUGCCAGCUGCUCAAGUGGAAAGUGGUCCCUUUACUAAAAUGUCACCUGUUUUCUGUAUUUUAAUGUAACUUAAUAUGCAUGUGUCUGAAGUUCAUGUUUUUAUUUCACAUAUAUAAGUCAGUGACUAUUUGAAUCUAUUUAUAACAAAGCCAUACAAAUAUGUUGCAUAAUGUUUUCUUUAGUGCAUCGAUUUAGAUUUUUUCAGGGGCUUAUUUAAUGUAAAUUGAAAUGUUUUUGGUCAGUGGUGCUGAUGAAAAUUAUAAUGACUGAAGUUAUAAUGAAAAAAUAAAACCUCAAUCUUUAU